Molecule: long non-coding RNA, 517 nt
Filed under: Homo sapiens (human)
Lineage: Eukaryota; Metazoa; Chordata; Mammalia; Primates; Hominidae
Description: HSALNT0204694
Source: RNAcentral
AUGAAAGAUAAAAAUGGAGAUAUAGCUGUUAUAUAAAAAUGUCAAGUAGAAGUAUUUGCAAGAAUGUAGAGGAAAAGAAAAACUCGCACACUGUGAUGGAUCCAACUUUUCUUCAUGGUAGAGAUACCCUAACUGCCCUCCAAACAAAGUUGCUAGUAUUGGAAGGAGGUUUGAGGAUACUCAUCUAGUGCAAGAGAUCCCUCAUCAAUUUCACUUCAUCUUUUCACAGAGCUUCCGGUUGUAUAAUUCUGCAGUGUAAUUCAGUUACUACCAAAGAAUCUCAUGUCAUUUUUUAACACUUUUCACUGCUUGAAAGGUCCAUAGGUUAAAUAUGGAAUUUACAACUUUACCUUUUCCACUAUCCUUUUGUACAUCUUUAACCAAUCAACAAACAUCUCUCAAUUUAUUUUCCUUAAAUGUAAUAAGUAAAAAGUGUGGUUGAGUGGAAGAUUACCAAAGUCCUCUGAUUUAGAUGUAUUGUAUUGUGUUGUUUUGUUUUUUUCCUCCCGGAAGUUCA